RNAcentral lists this ribosomal RNA (104 nucleotides) under Malus domestica (apple). Lineage: Eukaryota; Viridiplantae; Streptophyta; Magnoliopsida; Rosales; Rosaceae. The record is from RNAcentral.
GGGUGGAAGUCCAACUCACAUGCACCAGAUCCCAUCAGAACUUCGAAGUUAAGCGAGUUUGGGCGAGAGUAGUACUAGGAUGGAUAUCCUUAUCUUGCAUCCCC